This 398-nucleotide long non-coding RNA is filed under the name Piliocolobus tephrosceles (Ugandan red Colobus). RNAcentral describes it as "lncRNA (ENSPTEG00000000735.1)". The record is from RNAcentral. Lineage: Eukaryota; Metazoa; Chordata; Mammalia; Primates; Cercopithecidae.
AGGAGAUGGUGUGGGGGCUUCAGCCUCUGACACACACUACACCCCCAAAAAGGACCAACAAAAAUGAACUCCAAUCCGAAAAUGACAGCCUCUUGCUGCACAAAUGCUGAGUGUAACGUUGCUAUGUUUCUUUGCCUUACUCUGUGCCAGAAUGCGGCCCCUCUAGCCCUUGACUUGGAAAAUCUGGAGCUACCACUGAAGUCAACAAUGGCUACUGAAGGCACAAAAGGCCGUACAUGGUGGGUGAGGGGGGCUCAAGAACCGGAGAAGUGGAGUCGCCAGGCCUCAGAACAGCGCCAGGGAUCUGGGGAGCAGGAACUACCAGGGAGAAGCCUUCCCCUCGAGCUCCUGGACUCGGUCAUCAGUGUGCACCAGUCACUCAUCUAAGAUCAUCUGGG